CCUACGGGGGGCAGCAGUGAGGAAUAUUGGUCAAUGGCCGCAGGGCUGAACCAGCCAAGUCGCGUGAGGGAUGACGGUCCUAUGGAUUGUAAACCUCUUUUGUCAGGGAGCAAAGGGCGCCACGUGUGGCGUUUUGCGAGUACCUGAAGAAAAAGCAUCGGCUAACUCCGUGCCAGCAGCCGCGGUAAUACGGAGGAUGCGAGCGUUAUCCGGAUUUAUUGGGUUUAAAGGGUGCGCAGGCGGAAUGUCAAGUCAGCGGUAAAAUUUCGGGGCUCAACCCCGUCGUGCCGUUGAAACUGGCGUUCUUGAGGGAGCGAGAAGUAUGCGGAAUGCGUGGUGUAGCGGUGAAAUGCUUAGAUAUCACGAAGAACCCAGAUUGCGAAGGCAGCUUACUAAACUGUGACUGACGCUGAAGCACGAAAGCGUGGGUAUCGAACAGGAUUAGAUACCCGUGUAGUC
This 459-nucleotide ribosomal RNA is filed under the name uncultured bacterium. Its description in RNAcentral is "partial 16S ribosomal RNA". It matches the Rfam family "Bacterial small subunit ribosomal RNA", at positions 338 to 795 of the family's 1533-position model. The record is from RNAcentral.